Molecule: ribosomal RNA, 497 nt
Filed under: uncultured bacterium
Lineage: Bacteria
Description: partial 16S ribosomal RNA
Rfam family: Bacterial small subunit ribosomal RNA
Source: RNAcentral
GAUGAACGCUGGCGGCGUGCCUAAUACAUGCAAGUCGAGCGAACAGACGAGGAGCUUGCUCCUCUGACGUUAGCGGCGGACGGGUGAGUAACACGUGGAUAACCUACCUAUAAGACUGGGAUAACUUCGGGAAACCGGAGCUAAUACCGGAUAAUAUAUUGAACCGCAUGGUUCAAUAGUGAAAGACGGUUUUGCUGUCACUUAUAGAUGGAUCCGCGCCGCAUUAGCUAGUUGGUAAGGUAACGGCUUACCAAGGCAACGAUGCGUAGCCGACCUGAGAGGGUGAUCGGCCACACUGGAGCUGAGACACGGUCCAGACUCCUACGGGAGGCAGCAGUAGGGAAUCUUCCGCAAUGGGCGAAAGACUGACGGAGCAACGCCGCGUGAGUGAUGAAGGUCUUCGGAUCGUAAAACUCUGUUAUUAGGGAAGAACAAAUGUGUAAGUAACUAUGCACGUCUUGACGGUACCUAAUCAGAAAGCCACGGCUAACUACGUG